GUCCACGCCGUAAACGAUGAGCGCUAGGUGCUUUGGGUAUUGACCCCCGAGGUGCCGAAGCUAACGCGUUAAGCGCUCCGCCUGGGGAGUACGGCCGCAAGGCUAAAACUCAAAGGAAUUGACGGGGGCCCGCACAAGCGGUGGAGCAUGUGGUUCAAUUCGACGCAACGCGCAGAACCUUACCUGGGUUAAAUCCACUCGAACCUUGCAGAGAUGUAGGGGUGCCCUUCUGGGGAGCGAGUGAGAAGGUGCUGCAUGGCUGUCGU
Molecule: ribosomal RNA, 266 nt
Filed under: uncultured bacterium
Lineage: Bacteria
Description: partial 16S ribosomal RNA
Rfam family: Bacterial small subunit ribosomal RNA
Source: RNAcentral